Molecule: long non-coding RNA, 896 nt
Filed under: Homo sapiens (human)
Lineage: Eukaryota; Metazoa; Chordata; Mammalia; Primates; Hominidae
Description: HSALNT0169250
Source: RNAcentral
UUCCUCUCUGUGAGAGCCCCCUGCACCCCUCCCAUAACCAUUAUGCAUGCCCUCGUUUCCCCCAAAAACCACUGCAGGGUAUCUCAAACACUCAGUGUGGGCCUUCCAUGCUGAUCAGCAGUGAAUAGAGAAAUGUGGCAACUCAUUUAUAGUAGUAUAAAAUGUGGGAAACCCAAAAAGGUUUUGUUUGUUUGUUUGUUUGAGACAGGGUCUUGCCCUGUCACCCAGGCUGAGGUGCAGUGGCACAAUGAUAGCUUACUGCAGCUUAGGCCUCCUCGGCUCAAGCAGUGCUCCCACCUCAACCUCCCAAGUAGCUGGGACCACAGGUUUGCACCACCACACCCAGCUAAUUUUUAAAUUUUUUGUAGAGAUGGGGUCUUGCCAUGUUGCUCAGGCUGGUCUCAAACUCAAGCAAUCUUCCCACCUCAGCCUCCCAAAGUGCUGGAAUUAUAGGCGUGAGCCACCGUGCUGACAACUCAGAAAGUUGUUAAUAAGAGUAAAUCAUAACAGGGGAUUUGAACCAGUCCUGUGAAGAUUACAGGCAGGUCUCCAGCACCCCUGGGGAUCCUUAGAUGUUCAGGAAAAAGCACAAGUUGGCAAAGCCAGGCUUUGAAAUAAAGAGCCAUUCCUGGUAAUAGUUAACUUGAUUCUUCACAUUUAACAGGUGAGACAGGGACAGGCAUAACCCCAAAAUCAUUUAUAUUUGGCUAUGGAAUUUCCGCACGUGACCUAUGUAUAAAUCUUGGGAGCUGAAUCACCUUCAUACCCAUAUUUGUCUUAACUUGAACACUUAUCUGGGUAAUGUGUGGCGAAAAAAAGUGAAACACUCAGGGAACUUGGGGGAACUUGGCUCUGAAUUUUGAACUUACUACAGAUAACUAACUAUCCAGUUAUUA